Long non-coding RNA from Hippoglossus stenolepis (Pacific halibut), 531 nucleotides. RefSeq lists it as uncharacterized. The record is from RefSeq and is a predicted model, not a curated record. The transcript is spliced from 3 exons. Lineage: Eukaryota; Metazoa; Chordata; Actinopteri; Pleuronectiformes; Pleuronectidae.
AACACACACACACACACACACCGGCUCCAUGUUUUCUAUUCCAGCCUAAUGAAGCAUAGAGAUUGUAUUUUACCUUAUAAAUCACCGUCUCCUCUCAGUUCUCUGUCUUCUCUUCUCUUCUCUUCUCUCUCUUCUCUCUCUUCUCUCUCUUCUCUCUAUUCUCUCUCUUCUCUCUCGGUUUUCUUCUGUUGGAAUAAAAACGCGUCCAGCAUCGCUCCGUCAUCUGUGCGCGUGUUUGCUGUGAGUCGGGGUGUGGAACAACACGCACACGCGUCAAGAUGCAAAGCUCUUCAUCCUUCCACCAGGAGGCAGCAGUCACUGAGGUGCUAACUGCUGCUGGAGCAGUCACAUGACCUGGUGGUGACCCUGACCCUGACCCUACCCUGACCCUGACCCUGACCUGACCCUGACCCUGACCCUCAGAGCAACAUCUGCAGCACAGUCCUCCACCAGGAAGUUCAAAUUCCUACUGCUGUAAAAUGUGUCUUGAACAUUUUUUUCUAUAACAAUAAAAUCUCUUUUUGUGAGAAA